GACGAACGCUGGCGGCGUGCCUAACACAUGCAAGUCGAACGGUGACGCUCCAGCUUGCUGGAGUGGAUCAGUGGCGAACGGGUGAGUAACACGUGAGCAACCUGCCCCUGACUUUCGAAUAAGCGCUGGAAACGGCGUCUACUACAGGAUACGAUACGGGUCCCCAUGGGCACCUUCUGGUAAGUUUUUCGGUUGGGGAUGGUCUGGCGGACUACCAGAUUGUUGGUGAGGUAAUGGUUCACCAAGGCGACGACGGGUAGCCGGCCUGGGAGCGCGGACGGCGACCAGAGUACUGAGACAGGCCCCAGUCUGCUACGGGAGGCAGCAGGGGGGAGUAUUGCACAGUGGGCGAGAGCGUGAUGCGGCGGCGCCGGGGGAGUGAUGACGGCCUUCGGGGUGAAAACCUCUGUCAGCAGGUAAGAAGCGAAAGUGACGGUACCUGCAGAAGAAGCACCGGCUAACUACGUG
RNAcentral lists this ribosomal RNA (468 nucleotides) under uncultured bacterium. RNAcentral describes it as "partial 16S ribosomal RNA". It matches the Rfam family "Bacterial small subunit ribosomal RNA", at positions 28 to 507 of the family's 1533-position model. The record is from RNAcentral.